UCGAAUCUGACGCGUAUGCUGUGCCUCAGGACGAGAACUUCGCGCGCGCCAUGUGAACUUCAGUGUUGACUUAUGUAAAGACCGAUCGGUGUCGCGGUGACCGAAGAUCGUCUCGCCGGCUUCGUUAGAACUUUUUUUGACAUGGACAGUGACUUUGGUGGCCGUGACAGAUCCUGUGACACUUAUGGUACACGAGGCCGACGCACGUGCUCGCUUCCCGUUCCCGAAACUGAAUCGGGCGCCCGAUGCCUUGCUGUCGCGGACAUCGGCGGUUCGCAACGCGACCGGGUUCACCGGAUCAUUACGACACCUGAUAACACUUGAUAAAUGAUUGAGAAUCUUCAGGAGUGAAAUAAACUCUUUAUCUAUGGCGUUAUCAUUAUCAUCACGCAGUCGUCGGACAGGAAACAGGUGCCAGGUAAUGAUGUGGUGCUGUGUGACGUAACUGAGGAAUAUUUAUUUCUAUUACGCCACCGACACAAUGACGCGGUUCGUUGACAAUCGGUGACAAGAACAUCUUCGAGCUGAUUAAAAGAAUUAUCAUCAUACCCUCACAGCAGCAGAGCUUCGAGGGCGACCGGUGGCGGCCGCUGGAGCAACGUCGAACGUCCGAGCAUCCCUGCACUGCCCAGGUUUCGCGAGAAGAAAUACCUUGAACUAGAAGAGUGAUUUUAGUAAUUGUUUUGUAUUGUAACGCUUGAAUAAACUUUGUUUUUGUUA
Long non-coding RNA from Amyelois transitella, 720 nucleotides. RefSeq lists it as uncharacterized. Lineage: Eukaryota; Metazoa; Arthropoda; Insecta; Lepidoptera; Pyralidae. The record is from RefSeq and is a predicted model, not a curated record. The transcript is spliced from 6 exons.